This is a long non-coding RNA of Syngnathus acus (greater pipefish), 564 nucleotides long. RefSeq lists it as uncharacterized. The transcript is spliced from 5 exons. The record is from RefSeq and is a predicted model, not a curated record. Lineage: Eukaryota; Metazoa; Chordata; Actinopteri; Syngnathiformes; Syngnathidae.
UUUCAAUAGAGACUCUUUGACAAGUGACUGAGCAAGCAACAGGGUUAGGUGUGGGCUACUGUGUGCCUGAUUAAGCUUACCCUGAGAGAGAAUUUUUGGCCACAAACUGAGCAUGAAAAAGGUUUCUCACCAGUGUGGAUUCUUGUGUGGAUUUUUAAAUGUCCCCUCUGACUGAAUUUUUGGCCACAAACUGAGCAUGAAAAAGGUUUCUCACCAGUGUGGAUUCUUGUGUGCCCUUUUAAUUGUCCCCUCUGACUGAAUUUUUGGCCACAAACUGAGCAUGAAAAAGAUUUCUCACCAGUGUGGAUUCUUGUGUGGCUUUUUAAAUGUCCCCUCUGACUGAAUUUUUGGCCACAAACUGAGCAUGAAAAAGGUUUCUCGCCAGUGUGGAUUCUUGUGUGCCCUUUGAAAUGUGCCAUCUGACUGAAUUUUUGGCCACAAACUGAGCAUGAAAAAGGUUUCUCGCCAGUGUGGAUUUUUGUGUGCCCAUUUAAAUGUGCACUCUGACGGAAUUUUUGGCCACAAAUCGAGCAUGAAAAAGGUUUCUCACCAGUGUGGAUUCUU